RNAcentral lists this non-coding RNA (721 nucleotides) under Pan troglodytes (chimpanzee). The record is from RNAcentral. Lineage: Eukaryota; Metazoa; Chordata; Mammalia; Primates; Hominidae.
UUGUACUCUGCCUCUGACUCUCUUCCAAGAACAAUUUGGCAAGUUCUAAUCUACAUCUUGCAAAAAAAACAAAAAACAAAAAACAGAGAGGUAGGAGGGCCACAGCACCUGGGGUCCCAGAAGGCAGACUGACCUAUUCCUACAGCAGGGAGACAAGGUCUCAUUCUGUUGCCCAGGCUGGAGUGCAGUGGUGCAAUCACGGUUCACUGCGACCUGGAACUCCAGGGUUCAAGCAAUCCUCCUGCCUCAGCCUGCCGAGUAGCUGUGACAACAGGUGCGAGCCACCAUGCCCAGCUAAGAUUUCACCAUGUUGCCCAGCUGGUCUUGAACUCCUGGCCUCAAGCAAUUCUCCUGCUUCAGGCUCCCAAGUUGCUGGAAUUACAGGCUGCCUCCUCUGAGCCUUCCCAGAUUCUCAAUCUGUGAUGAAAUAGACAGAACACCAAGCUACCAGGAAGGGCACCUGCCUCCUAGAUCGGAAUCUUCAUCCAUUCGCACUUAGGUGAUCACUUGCCUUCGAGAGCCCCAUCCAGAAGACGGGAGUAAUGAGCCCUGCUCUGCCCAUCACGGGCCGCUAUGAGGAUGCAAAAGCACUUAGGAAAAGAAUUUAAAUGCUACACAGGCACACGAUAUUGUUACACACAGUCGAAGCUGGUGCAUCGGGCACUUCAUCAUCCAGAAACCUCUUUUAACUUACAAUGUGAGAUAAACUUAUAUACCUUUC